RNAcentral lists this ribosomal RNA (481 nucleotides) under uncultured bacterium. RNAcentral's name for it is "SSU rRNA". It matches the Rfam family "Bacterial small subunit ribosomal RNA", at positions 26 to 517 of the family's 1533-position model. The record is from RNAcentral.
AGGACGAACGCUGGCGGCGUGCCUAACACAUGCAAGUCGAACGCGCUCCAUUCGGUAGCAAUACUGAUGAAGAGCGAGUGGCGAACGGGUGAGUAGCACGUGAGCAACCUGCCCCGAAGACCGGGACAACACCGGGAAACCGGUGCUAAUACCGGAUAUCCCUAUCGGACCGCAUGAUCUGAUAAGGAAAUGGAUUCCGCUUCGGGAGGGGCUCGCGGCCUAUCAGCUAGUUGGUGAGGUAACGGCCCACCAAGGCAUCGACGGGUAGCUGGUCUGAGAGGACGAUCAGCCACACUGGGACUGAGACACGGCCCAGACUCCUACGGGAGGCAGCAGUGGGGAAUCUUGCGCAAUGGGCGAAAGCCUGACGCAGCAACGCCGCGUGGAGGACGAAGGCUUUCUGAGUUGUAAACUCCUUUCAGCAGGGACGAUAGUGACGGUACCUGCAGAGAAGCACCGGCCAACUACGCGCCAGCAGCCG